RNAcentral lists this ribosomal RNA (482 nucleotides) under uncultured bacterium. RNAcentral describes it as "partial 16S ribosomal RNA". It matches the Rfam family "Bacterial small subunit ribosomal RNA", at positions 30 to 507 of the family's 1533-position model. The record is from RNAcentral.
AUUGAACGCUGGCGGCAUGCCUUACACAUGCAAGUCGAACGGUAACGGGCCUUCGGGUGCCGACGAGUGGCGAACGGGUGAGUAAUACAUCGGAACGUGCCCGAUCGUGGGGGAUAACGCGGCGAAAGCUUUGCUAAUACCGCAUACGAUCUACGGAUGAAAGCAGGGGACCGCAAGGCCUUGCGCGGACGGAGCGGCCGAUGGCAGAUUAGGUAGUUGGUGGGAUAAAAGCUUACCAAGCCGACGAUCUGUAGCUGGUCUGAGAGGAGGAUCAGCCACACUGGGACUGAGACACGGCCCAGACUCCUACGGGAGGCAGCAGUGGGGAAUUUUGGACAAUGGGCGCAAGCCUGAUCCAGCCAUGCCGCGUGCAGGAUGAAGGCCUUCGGGUUGUAAACUGCUUUUGUACGGAACGAAAAGCCUUCUUUUAAUACAGGAGGGUCAUGACGGUACCGUAAGAAUAAGCACCGGCUAACUACGUG